CUUAGUGGCGGACGGGUGAGUAACGCGUGGGUAACCUGCCUUGCACUGGGGGAUAACACUUAGAAAUAGGUGCUAAUACCGCAUAACAGGAGAAGAUGCAUGUCUUUUCCUUGAAAACUCCGGUGGUGUAAGAUGGACCCGCAUCUGAUUAGCUUGUUGGCGGGGUAACGGCCCACCAAGGCGACGAUCAGUAGCCGGCCUGAGAGGGUGAACGGCCACAUUGGGACUGAGACACGGCCCAAACUCCUACGGAAGGCAGCAG
This 262-nucleotide ribosomal RNA is filed under the name uncultured bacterium. RNAcentral's name for it is "partial 16S ribosomal RNA". It matches the Rfam family "Bacterial small subunit ribosomal RNA", at positions 91 to 354 of the family's 1533-position model. The record is from RNAcentral.